UCCUUGGUGGUCCAAUGGCUAAGGCUGCAUUCCCAAUGCAGGAGGUCCGGGUUUGAUUCCUGGUCAGGGAA
RNAcentral lists this transfer RNA (71 nucleotides) under Ovis aries (sheep). It matches the Rfam family "tRNA". From Rfam's summary of the family: Transfer RNA (tRNA) molecules are approximately 80 nucleotides in length. Their secondary structure includes four short double-helical elements and three loops (D, anti-codon, and T loops). Further hydrogen bonds mediate the characteristic L-shaped molecular structure. tRNAs have two regions of fundamental functional importance: the anti-codon, which is responsible for specific mRNA codon recognition, and the 3' end, to which the tRNAs corresponding amino acid is attached (by aminoacyl-tRNA synthetases). tRNAs cope with the degeneracy of the genetic code in two manners: having more than one tRNA (with a specific anti-codon) for a particular amino acid; and 'wobble' base-pairing, i.e. permitting non-standard base-pairing at the 3rd anti-codon position. The record is from Rfam by way of RNAcentral. Lineage: Eukaryota; Metazoa; Chordata; Mammalia; Artiodactyla; Bovidae.